AAAGCAAGACACCCCCUUGCUCCACCCUGAAGCAGACUGAUCAUUCUGACACAGCAUAGCCAGUUAAAAUAAUGAACAGAGAUCAAGGCUGUUUACGUUUCGAGAACAACAACAAACUUGAGACAACCAAAGGGUUUAAGUCAGAGUCCCACCAAAAAUGCACCUACCUUAAACAGCGUAGGUUUGGCUCCCAACUUUCUGAGCAGUUCUAGGAUGAGUUUGAGUGGAUCUGGGGCUCAAUAUGAAGCAAAACCCAUAGGCUCUUAGGAAGGGAGCCCAUUGCAAAACUGGUCUGCUGGUGACAAACUUCCUUACAGCCUCUCAGCCGUCCGUACUUUCAACUAGGGCUAGGAUUCAUUUAAAGGAUUUAUGUGGCUCCCCAUGAAGUAUUAAUCUAAACAACAUUGUCUUACAGAAAAUUAAUUAAUUUUCCAUCUGUUGAAAGUUAAAAAACAUUCAUUAAUCAGUGUGUUUUCUAUCUGCUCUUGACCCUCACCUGGUUUAUUUAAAAAUAAAAUACAGGCAAGUGUUUUGAUUAUCUAUUGUUGAGAAACAAUUAAUUCAAGGAAAUGAUUGCAGUGGAAGGAAAUUUAAGAUUUAAUCCUGGUAUAUUACUGGGCUACAGCCUGACUGUCCGCAGAGCAUACAAUACAACACAAGACAAUUUCAGAAGAGUGUCUUUCAGCCAAACCAUAGCCCAAAUUGCUUUGCAGAGCUAAAUAAUACAGAACUGGAUCAUUCCCUUCAGCUUCUAUGAACGCAGUCGGUCCUUGAUCUAGCACACUAUCUCCAAAAUUGCAGAAGGGGAAGGAAUUUUCUAUGAAAGACCCUGUAGCGAGGCAGUGGGAUACCCCACAGCCCUGUGGAGGGACGAGCCUCCCCUAGCACCAACGUGGGCGGAGCCAGUGGGUCCUGCGCCCGCCCGCCAGAUGUCACAGCGCACGACACGAAGUAGAAAAGCCCCGCUGCAGAGCUCACUUGAAAGCUGGCUGCCGGAGAGGCCAGGUGCCUGUGGCCUAGCUCCGGGUUGGGAAACGCCGGGCCAUCCAAGCCUACCCCUCGCCAGCUACCCCGAGGAGCAGCCGAGCCUACCCUUUGCUAGUUACCCAGAGGAACCGAUGGUGCUGGAAACUGCCGAGGACACCGGCCAAACCCAGGUACCCUACGAGGGGGAGUCCGGAAGUAGCCCGGGGGCAGCCGACCCUGGCCUGGCCGCAGCAGAGCCAGAACCAAUGUCAGUGUGUUGCGGUCAGGA
This is a long non-coding RNA of Chrysemys picta bellii (western painted turtle), 1255 nucleotides long. RefSeq lists it as uncharacterized. The record is from RefSeq and is a predicted model, not a curated record. Lineage: Eukaryota; Metazoa; Chordata; Testudines; Emydidae.